UCUAGAGUUAGGGUUAUUGUCACAGGCACGAGAGGUGCAGAUCCCCGACCAUGUUUUGCAGGUUGCAGAGUGUUGUUGGUCAUGUCCGGUGCAGCUGGAUUCGUGGGUCAUGCCCGCAGACCUGUUGGUGUUAGGGCAGCUGCAGGACAUCGACGUAGUGCUCGGUAUGGACUGGCUGGCGCGGUACUAUGCUACUAUCGAUUGUGGAGCGAGGACGGUGACGUUCCGCGAGCCAGGCCAGGAGGAGUUCA
Molecule: long non-coding RNA, 251 nt
Filed under: Ananas comosus (pineapple)
Lineage: Eukaryota; Viridiplantae; Streptophyta; Magnoliopsida; Poales; Bromeliaceae
Description: long non-coding RNA (ACOM_LNC043793)
Source: RNAcentral